RNAcentral lists this long non-coding RNA (686 nucleotides) under Bos taurus (domestic cattle). RNAcentral describes it as "long non-coding RNA NONBTAT019731". Lineage: Eukaryota; Metazoa; Chordata; Mammalia; Artiodactyla; Bovidae. The record is from RNAcentral.
UUUAAAGUGAUAUUGACUUCUGGGUCAAGAUAGAAAGGGGAAUGAUUAACUCUGUCAUUCCUGCUGCCCAGUGAAAAAGAAUGACACUCUGGUUUGAAUAAUCAUAGUUCAGUCUAAAUUUGAAAGUUUUAACUGGAAGGUUAGUUUAUAAAAAUUUACUCCUCCACCCUAAUAAAGAUAAAAAGGGAGAAUUCUUGACCAAAAAGUAUAAUUUCAACAGACUAAUUUCAUAAAAUAAACUUUCAACUUUCUGAACUUCAAAGGCAUCUAUAAUGUAAUUCUACAAUGCUAAUCAGGGUCAAGACGUCAUAUGCCUCAUUAACUGCAUUAGUUAUAAAUUUCCUUACCAUUUUCUUUUCCAUAUUGUCAGUGUUAAGCUCUUAGCCUCUCAAUGCUAAUUAAGAGAAUUCUACCAUUUAGCCAAGAGAGUGCUCCUGUAAAAAGAAUCUCAGAAAGAUGAGAAGAAAAUGUGAAAAGCUGGGAAAAGUAGACAAUAUUCUUGGUGAGAAGCUUGUCCUGAAGUGAACUGAGAAUAUUCACAGACGUCAAUGUUACUACGCCCUAUCAAGUGUGGAGAAGUGAAAAUGUGUGAUCGUAUUCUGUUUUCUGUUUAAUAAAAAGUGUCUUUUAAAAUUAUCAGCACCUCAAGGAUUAUUAUUAACAGGUGUAAAAUGUACUCUAUAAUC